GGAAGUUGAUGGGGUCUGGUGGCCUCCUCGGUCUUCAAAACCGAUGUGAGCCGAGAAGGCUCGGGCAGGUUCGAUUCCUGCCUCUUCCGCCA
This 92-nucleotide transfer RNA is filed under the name Aeromonas encheleia. Its description in RNAcentral is "tRNA-Sec". It matches the Rfam family "Selenocysteine transfer RNA". Lineage: Bacteria; Pseudomonadati; Pseudomonadota; Gammaproteobacteria; Aeromonadales; Aeromonadaceae. RNAcentral also lists the same sequence under 5 other names. The record is from RNAcentral.